UGAGGAAUAUUGGUCAAUGGGCGAGAGCCUGAACCAGCCAAGUAGCGUGCAGGAUGACGGCCCUAUGGGUUGUAAACUGCUUUUAUGUGGGGAUAAAGUGCGUGACGUGUCAUGCAUUGCAGGUACCACAUGAAUAAGGACCGGCUAAUUCCGUGCCAGCAGCCGCGGUAAUACGGAAGGUCCGGGCGUUAUCCGGAUUUAUUGGGUUUAAAGGGAGCGUAGGCUGUCUAUUAAGCGUGUUGUGAAAUUUUCCGGCUCAACCGGUGGCUUGCAGCGCGAACUGGUCUACUUGAGUAUGCAGGAAGUAUGCGGAAUUCAUGGUGUAGCGGUGAAAUGCUUAGAUAUCAUGACGAACUCCGAUUGCGCAGGCAGCUUACUGUAGCAUAACUGACGCUGAUGCUCGAAAGUGCGGGUAUCAAACAGG
RNAcentral lists this ribosomal RNA (424 nucleotides) under Fusobacteriota bacterium. RNAcentral's name for it is "Fusobacteria bacterium partial 16S ribosomal RNA". It matches the Rfam family "Bacterial small subunit ribosomal RNA", at positions 355 to 776 of the family's 1533-position model. Lineage: Bacteria; Fusobacteriati; Fusobacteriota. The record is from RNAcentral.